GCUUAAAGUCUCAGAGAACAAGACGUUGUGACUGAUAAGACCCAAUCAGGACGAGAAAUGUUGGCGUCAGUGUCGGCGUCACCAAAGGUCUCCGUUUGGAGCCGUUGAGACCGAAACACAACCCCGCAGAUGCCAAACCAAAACGGGUCAGAAGGGUUUCCUAAUGUCUCCGGU
Etheostoma spectabile (orangethroat darter) is the source of this 174-nucleotide long non-coding RNA. RefSeq lists it as uncharacterized. The record is from RefSeq and is a predicted model, not a curated record. The transcript has 3 exons. NCBI's taxonomy places the organism in Eukaryota, Metazoa, Chordata, Actinopteri, Perciformes, Percidae.